AUACUUGCCUGGCAGGAGAGAGACCAUGAUAAAGGAGGUAGUUUCUCUAGGGCAAAGCUCCUCCACUGCACUCCAGGUAUGCUGACCCGUGAUUUCCCCAAAUGGGGGAAACUCAACUGCAUAAUUGGUGGAAACGAGGGACUGCAUUCACAUUUUCCUGUG
Molecule: small nuclear RNA, 162 nt
Organism: Artibeus jamaicensis (Jamaican fruit-eating bat)
Lineage: Eukaryota; Metazoa; Chordata; Mammalia; Chiroptera; Phyllostomidae
Product: U1 spliceosomal RNA
Exons: 1
Source: RefSeq, a predicted model, not a curated record